This 206-nucleotide long non-coding RNA is filed under the name Bos taurus (domestic cattle). Its description in RNAcentral is "long non-coding RNA NONBTAT025254". The record is from RNAcentral. Lineage: Eukaryota; Metazoa; Chordata; Mammalia; Artiodactyla; Bovidae.
UUCAAAGAGACACUCACAUAGUAGAGGCCAUAAUUUGAUGUUUGAUGCAUUUAUAUAUUAGGGCAACAAAUCCACUUCUAAUAUUACUGUAAUCCAAAUUCUGAAAGUAUUCUGAGUAAGGUAGGAAAAAAAUACUAAAAGAAAUGUAACUUAUCUCCUAAAACCUUUCACAAAGUAAAAAUAAUCAAAAUGGGUAAACUACAUGC